AGAACGAACGCUGGCGGCAUGCCUAAUACAUGCAAGUCGAACGAACUCUUCGGAGUUAGUGGCGCACGGGUGCGUAACGCGUGGGAAUCUGCCCCUUGGUUCGGAAUAACAGUUGGAAACGACUGCUAAUACCGGAUGAUGACGAAAGUCCAAAGAUUUAUCGCCCAGGGAUGAGCCCGCGUAAGAUUAGCUAGUUGGUGGGGUAAAGGCCUACCAAGGCAACGAUCUUUAGCUGGUCUGAGAGGGUGAUCAGCCACACUGGGACUGAGACACGGCCCAGACUCCGUACGGGAGGCAGCGAGUGGGGAAUAGUUGGACAAUGGGCGAAAGCCUGAUCCAGCAAUGCGCGUGAGUGAGUGAAGGUCCGUUAGGGUGUAAACGCUUACGUUUACCCGGGAUGAAUAAGUGAGAGUAACGGGAAGUAAAGUAACCGCCCCGGACUAACCGUCCGUACGACCAGCGACGCCGUACGGUAAAGUCCGUAGGACGGCCGGGUAC
RNAcentral lists this ribosomal RNA (498 nucleotides) under uncultured soil bacterium. RNAcentral describes it as "bacterial SSU rRNA". It matches the Rfam family "Bacterial small subunit ribosomal RNA", at positions 26 to 535 of the family's 1533-position model. The record is from RNAcentral.